UUACUCAGUAUUUAUUGUUUACACCUCUGCUUCAUAGUCAACAAAGUAGUCUUGACAUAAAAAAUGUUUAUGUUUAUGCAAUGUAAAGGAAUACAGGUGCUUGCUUUGUUGCAUAAAUGCACAUUGUAAAAUAUAAUGGAAACAUUCACAGUCAUAAGUAAACCACAGUAGUCAACCAAGGCGUUGUUGUCUUCUGUUACUUAAAAUACUUCAAUAUGCCAUUUUGACAAAUACUGUCAUCUUUAAACUAAAUCUGAAAGAAUGGAUUGCACAGCAAAGUUGCCACUUAUAUUUGUUAAAAAUAUUCACUAUCAUAAGCCCAGAAUGAAUUUUUGCUGAUAAACACCUGCCCAUUUUCUCAUCUAUAUACCGAAAUUUGUCAGCUACCGACAGAAAAAAAAGAAAACAUCCAAUUUACAAAUUAUCUCUACAGUUCCAGUUUUAUCAUAUGUGAAGUAAGCUUAAAUAAUCUUUUACUUCUAAUGUAAAAUAUGUGUCAUAUCCAUGUCUAUCACUGCUGGGAGUAUUUUGUUGGUGCUUUUGAGAACAGUAUUUGACAAAUGUUCUUAGCAAAGGUACUCAGCUCUCACAACCACUACGCUAACUGUAGGUGCUGCUAUAUAAGGAAUAUCUCAGAAGGAUAUGGAUCCUACCCAGCUUAGUGGUACUGCUGGCUAUUACUUUGGAUAUUUCUAAAUUCUCACUUAUACCUUAGGUAUUAGGGUUACUAAGCAUGAGUGUGUUAUAAUAUGUAAAAUACACGUGCAAUAUACAAAAAAAGUACAAACACUCUGAUUACGCAUUUAAAGGGAAGCUGUUCUCAAUACCAAUAUGAUCAUCUGUUUAAUGACAAAAUACUUUUAUUCAGUACUUUAACUUAUUUUAUUUACUCUUUGGAAAGCCAAGUUUCCAAAACAUGGGGGAUGCACAUUCUACUCACAUGACACUGUAGGGUCACACUGUUUAUAUGCACAUCACAAUGAAGUGAGUAUAUAAAUACCAAAGUUUCACUUUAACUAGAGGAAGAAGAAUUUAACCUACGUCAAAAUUCUUGACAUUUCAAAAAUUAAGUAAAAUGUAUUAAAACAAAUGAAAAUGUUUCUCUUUUCUAUAUAAACACUAACUUAUGUAACUAGUACAAAAGAAAUCUUUAUGUACAUGUCACCCUAUGAAUGAAAUAUGGCAGAAGUCAUAUAUGGAGAUAUGAGAGGGAUUACAACAUCACAAUUCAACAAACAUAAUGAAUAAGUAAUGGAGUAAUCAUCUGUUCAAUUAAUACUGUUAUCCCGGAUGACUCCAUGCCCACUAUAAAGGGCAUUGCACAUUUCAGGAAAUGUGUUAUUUGUUGGGUUAUAAUUAAAUGAGAUUAGAAAAUGGGCAAAGCAUACAUCUUCACACUGAUUGUAGAAAGAAUGUUUUCCAACAAAGUGUUAAUGUACAGGUAAUGCCCAGUAAAAAAAAAAAAAAAAAAAAAAAAACAGAUCUGUGACUUCACAGCAGCAUAUUAAGGUUUUGUAAAACAUGGACAGAAAAAAAAAGCAGAGAUACUAGUUUGUUUUACACUUGCUAAACGCGGCUUUGGUGUUUGGUGAAUGCAAAAAUAAAAAAUGUAAAUAAAGGGAAAAGUGAGUGUGUGGGUGUGUGUGUAUCUGCAUGUGAUAAACAGAGAGAUUCAGAGCAUGUGCAAGAAAGAAAGAGAGAGAGAGAGAAAGAUAGAGUACAUACCAACUUCUUUGGAUUGCAACAGGCAGUCCAUCACCAUGCAUUUCCUAAAUAAGAACACACAUGGAGCUCUAAUGUCUGGCAUUAUUGACUGACUUUAAUCCCUGCUAUCACUGUUCUUCCUGGAUACGUCUCAGUAAGUUUCAGUUUACUACUCCAAUAGCUCUUGGAAUUCAGUUAUUUUCCAUAGUUAAAUAACUAUUAAUAACAAGUAUAGGUUCCUUCCGUUGAGUGGGUAUGGUUGAACACAAGCAGUCAACAACUCCAGCAUCAUCAGCAGCAACUACUUUCUGUUCUGAAGUCAACAUGGACAGAAAGAGCAAGGACAAAUGUAACCUUAAAUACUAAAAUGCAGACAAGACCAACACAAUAAAAACACCUAAACAAGCUUUAACAUGUGAUGUUUCACCUUGUAAAUUCCCAAUAUAAGGAGGCACACCUUUGAACUUACAACUCCACAGUUACGCAACAGUGAUAAAAGUGAAUAUUAAUACAACAAACCACAACAAAAUCGUACUAAAAAUCCCUACAACAAACAUUUCCGAUAAAUGAUUUCAAUGGGAGAUGGAUCACUAUUAAAUUAUUGGAAGCUCAGAUGAGCAAACAAUGGACAGUCUAGCUGGGAAGGUUGAAAACCCAGCAGAU
Long non-coding RNA from Protopterus annectens (West African lungfish), 2367 nucleotides. RefSeq lists it as uncharacterized. The record is from RefSeq and is a predicted model, not a curated record. The transcript is spliced from 2 exons. NCBI's taxonomy places the organism in Eukaryota, Metazoa, Chordata, Ceratodontiformes, Protopteridae.